RNAcentral lists this ribosomal RNA (494 nucleotides) under uncultured bacterium. RNAcentral's name for it is "bacterial SSU rRNA". It matches the Rfam family "Bacterial small subunit ribosomal RNA", at positions 25 to 518 of the family's 1533-position model. The record is from RNAcentral.
CAGGAUGAACGCUGGCGGCGUGCCUAACACAUGCAAGUCGAACGGAACUUUUACGAGCAAGGCUUCGGCCAAGCAAGUUCAAGUUAGUGGCGGACGGGUGAGUAACGCGUGAGCAACCUGCCUUUCAGAGGGGGAUAACGUUUGGAAACGAACGCUAAUACCGCAUAACGUAUGGAUAUCGCAUGGUAAUCAUACCAAAGAUUUUAUCGCUGAGAGAUGGGCUCGCGUCCGAUUAGGUAGUUGGUGGGGUAACGGCUCACCAAGCCGACGAUCGGUAGCCGGACUGAGAGGUUGAACGGCCACAUUGGGACUGAGACACGGCCCAGACUCCUACGGGAGGCAGCAGUGGGGAAUAUUGCACAAUGGGCGCAAGCCUGAUGCAGCAACGCCGCGUGAGGGAAGACGGUUUUCGGAUUGUAAACCUCUGUCUUUGGUGACGAAGAAGUGACGGUAGCCAAGGAGGAAGCCACGGCUAACUACGUGCCAGCCGCAGC